RNAcentral lists this unclassified non-coding RNA (322 nucleotides) under soil metagenome. RNAcentral's name for it is "partial contains 5.8S ribosomal RNA, internal transcribed spacer 2, and large subunit ribosomal RNA". The stretch from base 1 to 120 matches the Rfam family "5.8S ribosomal RNA", at positions 35 to 154 of the family's 154-position model. The record is from RNAcentral.
GAUGAAGAACGCAGCGAAAUGCGAUAAGUAAUGUGAAUUGCAGAAUUCAGUGAAUCAUCGAAUCUUUGAACGCACAUUGCGCCCUUUGGUAUUCCGAAGGGCAUGCCUGUUCGAGCGUCAUUUCACCACUCAAGCCUGGCUUGGUAUUGGGCGCCGCGGUCGAUCCGCGCGCCUCAAAGUCUCCGGCUGAGCUGUCCGUCUCUAAGCGUUGUGAUUUCAUUAAUCGCUUCGGAGUGCGGGCGGCCGCGGCCGUUAAAUCUUUCACAAGGUUGACCUCGGAUCAGGUAGGGAUACCCGCUGAACUUAAGCAUAUCAACGGAGA